GCCCGUCGGGGAGGCGCUAGCCCCUCUCGUGGAGGGUCCCGACCCGGACGCCGUGGCGGACGGCGGCGGGGAGUCGCGGCGUGAGGGUGGUUGGGGCCACUGGGUCCGGGGCCAGCUCUCCCGCGCCCCCUCUGUCUCCUCCGGCGCCGGAGGUGGAGGCGCCUCCUCCUCCUCCUCCUACCACCGCCGCUCCGACCUCCGCCUCCUCCUGGGCGUUAUGGGCGCCCCGCUCGCCCCUGUUCACGUCAGCUCCGCCGACCCCCUCCCCCACC
Molecule: long non-coding RNA, 272 nt
Filed under: Elaeis guineensis (African oil palm)
Lineage: Eukaryota; Viridiplantae; Streptophyta; Magnoliopsida; Arecales; Arecaceae
Description: long non-coding RNA (EGUI_LNC000657)
Source: RNAcentral